CUAAGUUGGGUGUGGAUUUGUUUUGUAUACCUGCACGUGCAUAGUUUUUUUUUUUUUUAUCUUUAAUAAUAACUUAUGUGGAUCAUCUGUUUCUAUUUUGCUAUCGCUGUUCAAAGUAGCUGUCGAGAUGUGGACCCAUCAGAAGUUUUGCCACACGUGUUGGGGAGCAGAGAGGUGAGACAAAGGUCGCCUGGGAUAGCACGCAUACCGGUCUUCAUGCUAGCCAGAGGUCCGUGCGUCCCUGCUAUGCCCUUGUGUUUCUUUGUACUUCACACUGUGGACAGUAGAAUCAGGAGCCAGAGGGUGAAUUUAAUUUGGAACAGACCCCCCUGUCUUGAUAGAACUGCCUUUACUCAGGCUCAAACACAGCAACCUGCAAUUUCCUGAGGCCGUAACUCAGCCGGGGCUCUCACAGGCUCUAAAAAUGAAGUCCAGACUCAGCACCUCUCAGAGCUCACCCAGCUCCUACCAACAACACAGAGUGGUGUGGACGCCCGAGUCAGUCGAGUAGCAAUGGUUUUCUCCCUGAUGUAAUCAAACGGAGUGCACGGAUAUCACUUGAUUAACAGCUGCGGUAUUAAUUUCCCUUUUUGGUUGCUUGACUCACAGCAAGAAUCAUGUCAAGGCAGCAGAGAAGCAAUUAAAUUGAUUUUAAUCUUUGUCAGAGAAGAUAACAUGCCUCUUUCUCUUCUCAUUUAAAUAAUUAAAGUUUCAGUAGGUAUUAUUUCUGGCUUUAAAGAAAUUGGUAUCUUAAUGUAAUAGAA
This 764-nucleotide long non-coding RNA is filed under the name Felis catus (domestic cat). Its description in RNAcentral is "lncRNA (ENSFCAG00000044043.2)". The record is from RNAcentral. Lineage: Eukaryota; Metazoa; Chordata; Mammalia; Carnivora; Felidae.